CGGGGUGCAGCAGGCGCGAAAACUUUACAAUGCUGGCAACAGCGAUAAGGGGACCUCGAGUGCCAGGAUACAAUCUUGGCUGUCGCGAUGCCUAAAAAGCAUUGCAUAGCAAGGGCCGGGCAAGACCGGUGCCAGCCGCCGCGGUAACACCGGCGGCUCGAGUGGUAACCGCUAUUAUUGGGUCUAAAGGGUCUGUAGCCGGCCGGAUAAGUCUUUUGGGAAAUCCAGCUGCUCAACAGUUGGGCUUUCAGAAGAUACCGUUCGGCUCGAGACCGGGAGAGGUGAGAGGUACUUCAGGGGUAGGGGUGAAAUCUUGUAAUCCUUGAAGGACCACCAGUGGCGAAGGCGUCUCACCAGAACGGAUCUGACGGCAAGGGACGAAAGCUAGGGGCACGAACCGGAUUAGAUACCCGGGUAGUCCUAGCCGUAAACGAUACUCGCUAGGUGUCAGCCACGGUGCGACCGUGGUUGGUGCCGUAGGGAAGCCGUGAAGCGAGCCACCUGGGAAGUACGGCCGCAAGGCUGAAAAUUAAAGGAAUUGGCGGGGGAGCAAAGGGCGAUUCGCG
Molecule: ribosomal RNA, 566 nt
Filed under: uncultured archaeon
Lineage: Archaea
Description: bacterial SSU rRNA
Rfam family: Archaeal small subunit ribosomal RNA
Source: RNAcentral